GGGUGAGAUCUAAAUAAUAAAAGAGCUCGUAUAAUUUUGGUGCACAAAAUUGCAUGUUUAUUGUUCUAUGGAUUAAUUACUGAAAUUGUACAUUGUGCAUUGAUAAUUGAUCUGACAAUAGGAGCAUGUUUUAGGAAUUAUACAAAGUUCUUUAUAUUUGUUGAGUAAUUCCUUGAAUUCCAACACAUUGAUUGCUUGUGUACAUUGUUUUCAGUUGUGCAAGUUAGGAUAAUUGUUUUUCAUUCUGUAAUCUGCAUUCCUUAAAUCAGUUAGGAAGUUUCUUGGUUUUGUUUUUGUAAUCAUAUAUUGAGGUGUCUGUUAUGGCUUCCAGUAGUAGCCACCCCUUUUCAGAACCUAUGAUGGGUUCGAAAGUCGAACUAUCACAAUUCGAUGGAAAGGGGGAUUACUCGAUUUGGAAGCAGAAAAUGAGGGCCAUAUUGGUCCAACAGAGGGUUGCUAAAGCCGUGGACGACCCUGACAAAUAUUCUGAUGAACUUAAAGCCAAACCAGAUGAGAUUCUUGAAAUGAAUGAAAUAGCUUAUAGUUCGAUUAUCCUGCACUUAUCUGAUAAUAUUGUAAGACAAGUAAAAGAAUCCAAAACUGCUAGAGAUCUUUG
This 616-nucleotide long non-coding RNA is filed under the name Olea europaea subsp. europaea. The record is from RNAcentral. Lineage: Eukaryota; Viridiplantae; Streptophyta; Magnoliopsida; Lamiales; Oleaceae.